GCCCCUGUGGCGCAGUGGUCAGCGCGCUCGGUGCUGUAUUCCCGUCAUGUACUAGCUCUACAGCGUUACUGACUACCCCCGAGUCUUUCCAUAUCUCACGAGGUAUGGAUUGAGCAAGGGUACAAGGUCCUUAGAGAAUGGGUACAUAACGGGAACCAUGGAGAGGUCCUCGGUUCGACUCCGAGCAGAAGCA
Molecule: transfer RNA, 193 nt
Filed under: Clonostachys solani
Lineage: Eukaryota; Fungi; Ascomycota; Sordariomycetes; Hypocreales; Bionectriaceae
Source: RNAcentral